Molecule: ribosomal RNA, 497 nt
Filed under: uncultured bacterium
Lineage: Bacteria
Description: partial 16S ribosomal RNA
Rfam family: Bacterial small subunit ribosomal RNA
Source: RNAcentral
GAUGAACGCUGGCGGCGUGCCUAAUACAUGCAAGUCGAGCGAACAGACGAGGAGCUUGCUCCUUUGACGUUAGCGGCGGACGGGUGAGUAACACGUAGGUAACCUACCUAUAAGACUGGGAUAACUUCGGGAAACCGGAGCUAAUACCGGAUAAUAUUUCGAACCGCAUGGUUCGAUAGUGAAAGAUGGCUUUGCUAUCACUUAUAGAUGGACCUGCGCCGUAUUAGUUAGUUGGUAAGGUAACGGCUUACCAAGGCAACGAUACGUAGCCGACCUGAGAGGGUGAUCGGCCACACUGGAACUGAGACACGGUCCAGACUCCUACGGGAGGCAGCAGUAGGGAAUCUUCCGCAAUGGGCGAAAGCCUGACGGAGCAACGCCGCGUGAGUGAUGAAGGUCUUCGGAUCGUAAAACUCUGUUAUUAGGGAAGAACAAACGUGUAAGUAACUGUGCACGUCUUGACGGUACCUAAUCAGAAAGCCACGGCUAACUACGUG